RNAcentral lists this transfer RNA (73 nucleotides) under Phycisphaerae bacterium. Its description in RNAcentral is "tRNA-Ala". It matches the Rfam family "tRNA". From Rfam's summary of the family: Transfer RNA (tRNA) molecules are approximately 80 nucleotides in length. Their secondary structure includes four short double-helical elements and three loops (D, anti-codon, and T loops). Lineage: Bacteria; Pseudomonadati; Planctomycetota; Phycisphaerae. RNAcentral also lists the same sequence under 2 other names. The record is from RNAcentral.
GGGGCGGUAGCUCAGUUGGUAGAGCGCCAGCUUUGCAAGCUGGAUGUCGCGUGUUCGAAUCACGUCCGCUCCA